CCUACGGGAGGCAGCAGUGGGGAAUAUUGCACAAUGGGGGAAACCCUGAUGCAGCGACGCCGCGUGAGCGAUGAAGUAUUUCGGUAUGUAAAGCUCUAUCAGCAGGGAAGAAGAUGACGGUACCUGACUAAGAAGCCCCGGCUAACUACGUGCCAGCAGCCGCGGUAAUACGUAGGGGGCAAGCGUUAGCCGGAUUUACUGGGUGAAAAGGGAGCGUAGACGGCGGGGCGAGCCAGAUGUGAAAGCCCGGGGCUCAACCCCGGGACUGCAUUUGGAACUGUGCUGCUAGAGUGUUGGAGAGGGAGGCGGAAUUCCAGGUGUAGCGGUGAAAUGCGUAGAGAUUAGGAGGAAUACCAGUGGCGAAGGCGGCCUGCUGGACGAUGACUGACGUUGAGGUGCGAAAGCGUGGGGAGCAAACAGGAUUAGAUACCCGAGUAGUC
RNAcentral lists this ribosomal RNA (440 nucleotides) under uncultured bacterium. RNAcentral's name for it is "partial 16S ribosomal RNA". It matches the Rfam family "Bacterial small subunit ribosomal RNA", at positions 338 to 795 of the family's 1533-position model. The record is from RNAcentral.